GGUUAAGCGACUAAGCGUACACGGUGGAUGCCCUGGCAGUCAGAGGCGAUGAAGGACGUGCUAAUCUGCGAUAAGCGCCGGUAAGGUGAUAUGAACCGUUAUAACCGGCGAUUUCCGAAUGGGGAAACCCAGUGUGACUCGUCACACUAUCAUUAACUGAAUCCAUAGGUUAAUGAGGCGAACCGGGGGAACUGAAACAUCUAAGUACCCCGAGGAAAAGAAAUCAACCGAGAUUCCCCCAGUAGCGGCGAGCGAACGGGGAGGAGCCCAGAGCCUGAAUCAGCAUGUGUGUUAGUGGAAGCGUCUGGAAAGGCGCGCGAUACAGGGUGACAGCCCCGUACACAAAAGCGCAUGUGCUGUGAGCUCGAUGAGUAGGGCGGGACACGUGGUAUCCUGUCUGAAUAUGGGGGGACCAUCCUCCAAGGCUAAAUACUCCUGACUGACCGAUAGUGAACCAGUACCGUGAGGGAAAGGCGAAAAGAACCCCGGCGAGGGGAGUGAAAAAGAACCUGAAACCGUGUACGUACAAGCAGUGGGAGCACAGGUUUACCUGUGUGACUGCGUACCUUUUGUAUAAUGGGUCAGCGACUUAUAUUCUGUAGCAAGGUUAACCGUAUAGGGGAGCCGGAGGGAAACCGAGUCUUAAUUGGGCGUUAAGUUGCAGGGUAUAGACCCGAAACCCGGUGAUCUAGCCAUGGGCAGGUUGAAGGUUGGGUAACACUAACUGGAGGACCGAACCGACUAAUGUUGAAAAAUUAGCGGAUGACCUGUGGCUGGGGGUGAAAGGCCAAUCAAACCGGGAGAUAGCUGGUUCUCCCCGAAAGCUAUUUAGGUAGCGCCUCGUGAAUUCAUCUCCGGGGGUAGAGCACUGUUUCGGCUAGGGGGCCAUCCCGGCUUACCAACCCGAUGCAAACUGCGAAUACCGGAGAAUGUUAUCACGGGAGACACACGGCGGGUGCUAACGUCCGUCGUGAAGAGGGAAACAACCCAGACCGCCAGCUAAGGUCCCAAAGUCAUGGUUAAGUGGGAAACGAUGUGGGAAGGCCCAGACAGCCAGGAUGUUGGCUUAGAAGCAGCCAUCAUUUAAAGAAAGCGUAAUAGCUCACUGGUCGAGUCGGCCUGCGCGGAAGAUGUAACGGGGCUAAACCAUGCACCGAAGCUGCGGCAGCGAACGUAUCACCCAAGACAACUUUACGGAGUUGACGAUUGACGGAGCGAAGCGACGUCAAAGCGUUCAUUAAAGUCGAGUUGGCUUAGGGAUACGUUCGUUGGGUAGGGGAGCGUUCUGUAAGCCUGUGAAGGUGUGUCGUGAGGCAUGCUGGAGGUAUCAGAAGUGCGAAUGCUGACAUAAGUAACGAUAAAGCGGGUGAAAAGCCCGCUCGCCGGAAGACCAAGGGUUCCUGUCCAACGUUAAUCGGGGCAGGGUGAGUCGACCCCUAAGGCGAGGCCGAAAGGCGUAGUCGAUGGGAAACGGGUUAAUAUUCCCGUACUUGGUGUUACUGCGAAGGGGGGACGGAGAAGGCUAUGUUGGCCGGGCGACGGUUGUCCCGGUUUAAGCGUGUAGGUGUGUGUUCCAGGUAAAUCCGGUUCACUUUAACACUGAGGCGUGACGACGAGGCACUACGGUGCUGAAGCAACAAAUGCCCUGCUUCCAGGAAAAGCCUCUAAGCAUCAGGUAACAUCAAAUCGUACCCCAAACCGACACAGGUGGUCAGGUAGAGAAUACCAAGGCGCUUGAGAGAACUCGGGUGAAGGAACUAGGCAAAAUGGUGCCGUAACUUCGGGAGAAGGCACGCUGACAUGUAGGUGAAGUGAUUUACUCAUGGAGCUGAAGUCAGUCGAAGAUACCAGCUGGCUGCAACUGUUUAUUAAAAACACAGCACUGUGCAAACACGAAAGUGGACGUAUACGGUGUGACGCCUGCCCGGUGCCGGAAGGUUAAUUGAUGGGGUCAGCGCAAGCGAAGCUCCUGAUCGAAGCCCCGGUAAACGGCGGCCGUAACUAUAACGGUCCUAAGGUAGCGAAAUUCCUUGUCGGGUAAGUUCCGACCUGCACGAAUGGCGUAAUGAUGGCCAGGCUGUCUCCACCCGAGACUCAGUGAAAUUGAACUCGCUGUGAAGAUGCAGUGUACCCGCGGCAAGACGGAAAGACCCCGUGAACCUUUACUAUAGCUUGACACUGAACAUUGAGCCUUGAUGUGUAGGAUAGGUGGGAGGCUUUGAAGCGUGGACGCCAGUCUGCGUGGAGCCGACCUUGAAAUACCACCCUUUAAUGUUUGAUGUUCUAACGUGGACCCGUAAUCCGGGUUGCGGACAGUGUCUGGUGGGUAGUUUGACUGGGGCGGUCUCCUCCUAAAGAGUAACGGAGGAGCACGAAGGUUGGCUAAUCCUGGUCGGACAUCAGGAGGUUAGUGCAAUGGCAUAAGCCAGCUUGACUGCGAGCGUGACGGCGCGAGCAGGUGCGAAAGCAGGUCAUAGUGAUCCGGUGGUUCUGAAUGGAAGGGCCAUCGCUCAACGGAUAAAAGGUACUCCGGGGAUAACAGGCUGAUACCGCCCAAGAGUUCAUAUCGACGGCGGUGUUUGGCACCUCGAUGUCGGCUCAUCACAUCCUGGGGCUGAAGUAGGUCCCAAGGGUAUGGCUGUUCGCCAUUUAAAGUGGUACGCGAGCUGGGUUUAGAACGUCGUGAGACAGUUCGGUCCCUAUCUGCCGUGGGCGCUGGAGAACUGAGGGGGGCUGCUCCUAGUACGAGAGGACCGGAGUGGACGCAUCACUGGUGUUCGGGUUGUCAUGCCAAUGGCACUGCCCGGUAGCUAAAUGCGGAAGAGAUAAGUGCUGAAAGCAUCUAAGCACGAAACUUGCCCCGAGAUGAGUUCUCCCUGAGACUUAGAGUCUCCUGAAGGAACGUUGAAGACGACGACGUUGAUAGGCCGGGUGUGUAAGCGCAGCGAUGCGUUGAGCUAACCGGUACUAAUGAACCGUGAGGCUUAACCUU
Molecule: ribosomal RNA, 2992 nt
Filed under: Salmonella enterica subsp. enterica serovar Saintpaul
Lineage: Bacteria; Pseudomonadati; Pseudomonadota; Gammaproteobacteria; Enterobacterales; Enterobacteriaceae
Description: 23S ribosomal RNA
Rfam family: Bacterial large subunit ribosomal RNA
Source: RNAcentral